RNAcentral lists this ribosomal RNA (403 nucleotides) under uncultured bacterium. Its description in RNAcentral is "partial 16S ribosomal RNA". It matches the Rfam family "Bacterial small subunit ribosomal RNA", at positions 28 to 526 of the family's 1533-position model. The record is from RNAcentral.
GACGAACGCUGGCGGCGUGCCUAAUACAUGCAAGUCGAACGCAGUUGGGACGGGUGAGUCACACGUGGGUAACCUCCCAUCAGAUGGGAUAACACUUGGAAACAGGUGCUAAACCGAUACUGAUGGAUGGACCCGGGGUGCAUUAGCUAGUUGGUGGGGUAACGGCUCACCAAGGCCCAGAUGCCGAGCCGACCUGAGAGGAGGAUCGGCCACACUGGGACUGAGAAACGGCCCAGACUCCUACGGGAGGCAGCAGUGGGGAAUAUUCGGCAAUGGACGAAAGUCUGACCGAGCAACGCCGCGUGAGUGAAGAAGGUUUGCGGAUCGUAAAACUCUGUUGUUAGAGAAGCGGUAUCUAAAGAGAAAGCCACGGCUAACUACGUGCCAGCAGCCGCGGUAAUUC